UUUGAAAGAACCUUAUGUGCCUAAUGAUUUUGCUAAUGAUGGUUCUAAUGCUAUGUCUUUGGGUUGUUCUGGUGAUGAUGAAGAGUUUGAUAAGGCACUUUACAAUUUCUAUGUGAAUAAUAAAGUCAAGUAGCUGAAGAGAAAAUUAUCAUCUGCUGGCAGAAGGAA
Triticum urartu is the source of this 168-nucleotide non-coding RNA. The record is from RefSeq and is a predicted model, not a curated record. NCBI's taxonomy places the organism in Eukaryota, Viridiplantae, Streptophyta, Magnoliopsida, Poales, Poaceae.